GUCUAUGGCCAUUUCACCCUGAACAUGCCUGAUCUUGUCUGAUCUCAGAAGCUAAGCAGGGUCGGGCCUGGCUAGUACUUCGAUGGGAGACCACCUAGCAAGACCAGGUGCUAUAGGCG
RNAcentral lists this ribosomal RNA (119 nucleotides) under Pteropus alecto (black flying fox). The record is from RNAcentral. Lineage: Eukaryota; Metazoa; Chordata; Mammalia; Chiroptera; Pteropodidae.